Molecule: ribosomal RNA, 2636 nt
Filed under: Staphylococcus aureus VET1103S
Lineage: Bacteria; Bacillati; Bacillota; Bacilli; Caryophanales; Staphylococcaceae
Description: bacterial LSU rRNA
Rfam family: Bacterial large subunit ribosomal RNA
Source: RNAcentral
UUAAGUUAUUAAGGGCGCACGGUGGAUGCCUUGGCACUAGAAGCCGAUGAAGGACGUUACUAACGACGAUAUGCUUUGGGGAGCUGUAAGUAAGCUUUGAUCCAGAGAUUUCCGAAUGGGGAAACCCAGCAUGAGUUAUGUCAUGUUAUCGAUAUGUGAAUACAUAGCAUAUCAGAAGGCACACCCGGAGAACUGAAACAUCUUAGUACCCGGAGGAAGAGAAAGAAAAUUCGAUUCCCUUAGUAGCGGCGAGCGAAACGGGAAGAGCCCAAACCAACAAGCUUGCUUGUUGGGGUUGUAGGACACUCUAUACGGAGUUACAAAGGACGACAUUAGACGAAUCAUCUGGAAAGAUGAAUCAAAGAAGGUAAUAAUCCUGUAGUCGAAAAUGUUGUCUCUCUUGAGUGGAUCCUGAGUACGACGGAGCACGUGAAAUUCCGUCGGAAUCUGGGAGGACCAUCUCCUAAGGCUAAAUACUCUCUAGUGACCGAUAGUGAACCAGUACCGUGAGGGAAAGGUGAAAAGCACCCCGGAAGGGGAGUGAAAUAGAACCUGAAACCGUGUGCUUACAAGUAGUCAGAGCCCGUUAAUGGGUGAUGGCGUGCCUUUUGUAGAAUGAACCGGCGAGUUACGAUUUGAUGCAAGGUUAAGCAGUAAAUGUGGAGCCGUAGCGAAAGCGAGUCUGAAUAGGGCGUUUAGUAUUUGGUCGUAGACCCGAAACCAGGUGAUCUACCCUUGGUCAGGUUGAAGUUCAGGUAACACUGAAUGGAGGACCGAACCGACUUACGUUGAAAAGUGAGCGGAUGAACUGAGGGUAGCGGAGAAAUUCCAAUCGAACCUGGAGAUAGCUGGUUCUCUCCGAAAUAGCUUUAGGGCUAGCCUCAAGUGAUGAUUAUUGGAGGUAGAGCACUGUUUGGACGAGGGGCCCCUCUCGGGUUACCGAAUUCAGACAAACUCCGAAUGCCAAUUAAUUUAACUUGGGAGUCAGAACAUGGGUGAUAAGGUCCGUGUUCGAAAGGGAAACAGCCCAGACCACCAGCUAAGGUCCCAAAAUAUAUGUUAAGUGGAAAAGGAUGUGGCGUUGCCCAGACAACUAGGAUGUUGGCUUAGAAGCAGCCAUCAUUUAAAGAGUGCGUAAUAGCUCACUAGUCGAGUGACACUGCGCCGAAAAUGUACCGGGGCUAAACAUAUUACCGAAGCUGUGGAUUGUCCUUUGGACAAUGGUAGGAGAGCGUUCUAAGGGCGUUGAAGCAUGAUCGUAAGGACAUGUGGAGCGCUUAGAAGUGAGAAUGCCGGUGUGAGUAGCGAAAGACGGGUGAGAAUCCCGUCCACCGAUUGACUAAGGUUUCCAGAGGAAGGCUCGUCCGCUCUGGGUUAGUCGGGUCCUAAGCUGAGGCCGACAGGCGUAGGCGAUGGAUAACAGGUUGAUAUUCCUGUACCACCUAUAAUCGUUUUAAUCGAUGGGGGGACGCAGUAGGAUAGGCGAAGCGUGCGAUUGGAUUGCACGUCUAAGCAGUAAGGCUGAGUAUUAGGCAAAUCCGGUACUCGUUAAGGCUGAGCUGUGAUGGGGAGAAGACAUUGUGUCUUCGAGUCGUUGAUUUCACACUGCCGAGAAAAGCCUCUAGAUAGAAAAUAGGUGCCCGUACCGCAAACCGACACAGGUAGUCAAGAUGAGAAUUCUAAGGUGAGCGAGCGAACUCUCGUUAAGGAACUCGGCAAAAUGACCCCGUAACUUCGGGAGAAGGGGUGCUCUUUAGGGUUAACGCCCAGAAGAGCCGCAGUGAAUAGGCCCAAGCGACUGUUUAUCAAAAACACAGGUCUCUGCUAAACCGUAAGGUGAUGUAUAGGGGCUGACGCCUGCCCGGUGCUGGAAGGUUAAGAGGAGUGGUUAGCUUCUGCGAAGCUACGAAUCGAAGCCCCAGUAAACGGCGGCCGUAACUAUAACGGUCCUAAGGUAGCGAAAUUCCUUGUCGGGUAAGUUCCGACCCGCACGAAAGGCGUAACGAUUUGGGCACUGUCUCAACGAGAGACUCGGUGAAAUCAUAGUACCUGUGAAGAUGCAGGUUACCCGCGACAGGACGGAAAGACCCCGUGGAGCUUUACUGUAGCCUGAUAUUGAAAUUCGGCACAGCUUGUACAGGAUAGGUAGGAGCCUUUGAAACGUGAGCGCUAGCUUACGUGGAGGCGCUGGUGGGAUACUACCCUAGCUGUGUUGGCUUUCUAACCCGCACCACUUAUCGUGGUGGGAGACAGUGUCAGGCGGGCAGUUUGACUGGGGCGGUCGCCUCCUAAAAGGUAACGGAGGCGCUCAAAGGUUCCCUCAGAAUGGUUGGAAAUCAUUCAUAGAGUGUAAAGGCAUAAGGGAGCUUGACUGCGAGACCUACAAGUCGAGCAGGGUCGAAAGACGGACUUAGUGAUCCGGUGGUUCCGCAUGGAAGGGCCAUCGCUCAACGGAUAAAAGCUACCCCGGGGAUAACAGGCUUAUCUCCCCCAAGAGUUCACAUCGACGGGGAGGUUUGGCACCUCGAUGUCGGCUCAUCGCAUCCUGGGGCUGUAGUCGGUCCCAAGGGUUGGGCUGUUCGCCCAUUAAAGCGGUACGCGAGCUGGGUUCAGAACGUCGUGAGACAGUUCGGUCC